AUUGAACGCUGGCGGCAUGCCUUACACAUGCAAGUCGAACGGCAGCACGGACUUCGGUCUGGUGGCGAGUGGCGAACGGGUGAGUAAUGUAUCGGAACGUACCUUUCAGUGGGGGAUAACGUAGCGAAAGUUACGCUAAUACCGCAUAUUCUGUGAGCAGGAAAGCAGGGGAUCGCAAGACCUUGCGCUGAUUGAGCGGCCGAUAUCAGAUUAGCUAGUUGGUGGGGUAAAGGCCUACCAAGGCGACGAUCUGUAGCGGGUCUGAGAGGAUGAUCCGCCACACUGGAACUGAGACACGGUCCAGACUCCUACGGGAGGCAGCAGUGGGGAAUUUUGGACAAUGGGGCAACCCUGAUCCAGCCAUGCCGCGUGAGUGAAGAAGGCCUUCGGGUUGUAAAGCUCUUUCGGCCGGGAAGAAAUCGCACAGGCUAAUACCCUGUGUGGAUGACGGUACCGGAAUAAGAAGCACCGGCUAACUACGUGCCAGCAGCCGCGGUAAUACGUAGGGUGCGAGCGUUAAUCGGAAUUACUGGGCGUAAAGCGUGCGCAGGCGGUUUCGUAAGACAGAGGUGAAAUCCCCGGGCUCAACCUGGGAACUGCCUUUGUGACUGCGAGGCUAGAGUACGGCAGAGGGGGGUGGAAUUCCACGUGUAGCAGUGAAAUGCGUAGAGAUGUGGAGGAACACCGAUGGCGAAAGCAGCCCCCUGGGCCGAUACUGACGCUCAUGCACGAAAGCGUGGGUAGCAAACAGGAUUAGAUACCCUGGUAGUCCACGCCCUAAACGAUGUCAACUAGGUGUUGGGUGGGUAAAACCAUUUAGUACCGUAGCUAACGCGUGAAGUUGACCGCCUGGGGAGUACGGCCGCAAGGUUAAAACUCAAAGGAAUUGACGGGGACCCGCACAAGCGGUGGAUGAUGUGGAUUAAUUCGAUGCAACGCGAAAAACCUUACCUACCCUUGACAUGUUCAGAAUCCCGGAGAGAUUUGGGAGUGCCCGAAAGGGAGCUGGAACACAGGUGCUGCAUGGCUGUCGUCAGCUCGUGUCGUGAGAUGUUGGGUUAAGUCCCGCAACGAGCGCAACCCUUGUCGUUAAUUGCCAUCAUUCGUUGGGCACUUUAACGAGACUGCCGGUGACAAACCGGAGGAAGGUGGGGAUGACGUCAAGUCCUCAUGGCCCUUAUGGGUAGGGCUUCACACGUCAUACAAUGGUCGGUACAGAGGGUUGCCAAGCCGCGAGGUGGAGCCAAUCCCAGAAAGCCGAUCGUAGUCCGGAUUGCAGGCUGCAACUCGCCUGCAUGAAGUCGGAAUCGCUAGUAAUCGCGGAUCAGCAUGUCGCGGUGAAUACGUUCCCGGGUCUUGUACACACCGCCCGUCACACCAUGGGAGCGGGUUCCGCCAGAAGUAGGUAGCCUAACCGCAAGGAGGGCGCUUACCACGGCGGGGUUCGUGACUGGGGUG
This 1458-nucleotide ribosomal RNA is filed under the name uncultured Dechloromonas sp. RNAcentral's name for it is "bacterial SSU rRNA". It matches the Rfam family "Bacterial small subunit ribosomal RNA". Lineage: Bacteria; Pseudomonadati; Pseudomonadota; Betaproteobacteria; Rhodocyclales; Azonexaceae. The record is from RNAcentral.